This is a long non-coding RNA of Calidris pugnax (ruff), 183 nucleotides long. RefSeq lists it as uncharacterized. The transcript is spliced from 3 exons. The record is from RefSeq and is a predicted model, not a curated record. NCBI's taxonomy places the organism in Eukaryota, Metazoa, Chordata, Aves, Charadriiformes, Scolopacidae.
CCCUGCAUGCUCCUUCUUGAGCACUUUUGGGAUGAGAAGCUGUCCUCUCUGACCACAUAUUGCUUUUGCUUUCCAGAGGAACAAGCUGCACUGUUGGCUUGGAGAAAGUUUCUGCUUCCUGAAAAUCCAGACGUGGUGACCCUGGAUCCAAACACGGCUCAUUCUGGACUUGUCCUGUCGGAG